CGUUGGUCUCCUCGCAACGUGAAAUCGUUAACCCGGUCAGGCCCGGAAGGGAGCAGCCGCAGCGGUGAAUCGUGUGCCGGGGUUCGGCUGGCGGAA
Molecule: signal recognition particle RNA, 96 nt
Filed under: Gammaproteobacteria bacterium
Lineage: Bacteria; Pseudomonadati; Pseudomonadota; Gammaproteobacteria
Description: signal recognition particle sRNA small type
Rfam family: Bacterial small signal recognition particle RNA
About the family: The signal recognition particle (SRP) is a universally conserved ribonucleoprotein involved in the co-translational targeting of proteins to membranes. Archaeal SRP consists of a 7S RNA and homologues of the eukaryotic SRP19 and SRP54 proteins.
Source: RNAcentral